UGUUAUUUUAUUUGUCAUUUUGCCUAAGACAUGCAUUUAUAUGCAGCAUAUUUUAUGCCAGCUUAACUUUAUAGGUUAAGAUAAAUAUGAUAUUUGUAGAAGUAGCGCAUUCCCUACAGUUUUGGUUAAUUUGUGUGUUAUUCCACCUCAUGUUGAACAUUAACCAAACCAUGGUGUUGGACUACUGUUGUUUUAUAUUAGGUUAAACUGCAUCACACAGCAUGCAGUCAUGCACAUUACAGUACUAACAUGACAUUCAAAGAUGAUCCUCAGUUUCAUUUAAUAGCACUAGUUCGAUUCAAAGAUGCAGCACACCAUUCCAUUUUUCAUUCUCUACAUGAAAUUUGUAGAACUGUUUCCAUAUCCAUAGGCACUAUCUGUUCUUGUCAACUGCAAACAAGAUUGCCAUGCUUUUAACAUAUUAGGGAGUAUUUAAAGCAAUCUAACUACAUCACAUUACGAUCCUGGGAAUUUAAAGAAAUGUAGGGAAGUAUAACAUUUCUCAUUUAUCACGAGGAAGUAUCAUAAAUAUUGCCAUUAGCAUUAGACACCAUUUAUUCAGUGAAGUAGAAGGAGGUUGAUCAUUUUUUUAAGGGGUAGGGUAUUAGGAUCAUAAUUUAAGUAAUAGGAAGAUGUAUGUGGAUGUGAUUUAUAUGCAGGAUAAGCUACUUUGCUCGAGGUGAAUGGUGCUUAAGCUGAUAAUUUGGCACAGGUAAACUUUUUAGUUGUAACAAGUGAAGA
Long non-coding RNA from Hibiscus syriacus, 741 nucleotides. RefSeq lists it as uncharacterized. Lineage: Eukaryota; Viridiplantae; Streptophyta; Magnoliopsida; Malvales; Malvaceae. The transcript has 3 exons. The record is from RefSeq and is a predicted model, not a curated record.